AGAGACUUAAGUUAAAAAAACUAAUAGCCUUCAAAGCUUUAAUUGAUACCUAAUCAGUCCCUAC
Molecule: transfer RNA, 64 nt
Filed under: Postolata guangxiensis
Lineage: Eukaryota; Metazoa; Mollusca; Bivalvia; Unionida; Unionidae
Description: tRNA-Trp
Source: RNAcentral